Molecule: ribosomal RNA, 464 nt
Filed under: uncultured Cardiobacterium sp.
Lineage: Bacteria; Pseudomonadati; Pseudomonadota; Gammaproteobacteria; Cardiobacteriales; Cardiobacteriaceae
Description: bacterial SSU rRNA
Rfam family: Bacterial small subunit ribosomal RNA
Source: RNAcentral
CCUACGGGCGGCAGCAGUGGGGAAUAUUGGACAAUGGGGGGAACCCUGAUCCAGCAAUGCCGCGUGUGUGAAGAAGGCCUUCGGGUUGUAAAGCACUUUCAGUAGGGAGGAAAGGUGCGUAGUUAAUACCUGCGCAAUUGACGUUACCUACAGAAGAAGCACCGGCUAACUCCGUGCCAGCAGCCGCGGUAAUACGGAGGGUGCGAGCGUUAUUCGGAAUUACUGGGCGUAAAGCGCACGCAGGCGGUUGCCCAAGUCGGAUGUGAAAGCCCCGGGCUUAACCUGGGAACUGCAUUUGAAACUGGGCGACUAGAGUAUGAAAGAGGAAAGCGGAAUUUCCAGUGUAGCAGUGAAAUGCGUAGAUAUUGGAAGGAACACCGAUGGCGAAGGCAGCUUUCUGGGUCGAUACUGACGCUCAUGUGCGAAAGCGUGGGGAGCAAACAGGAUUAGAUACCCCGGUAGUC